RNAcentral lists this ribosomal RNA (605 nucleotides) under Pantoea sp. RNAcentral describes it as "bacterial SSU rRNA". It matches the Rfam family "Bacterial small subunit ribosomal RNA", at positions 847 to 1452 of the family's 1533-position model. The record is from RNAcentral. Lineage: Bacteria; Pseudomonadati; Pseudomonadota; Gammaproteobacteria; Enterobacterales; Erwiniaceae.
CGGAGCUAACGCGUUAAGUCGACCGCCUGGGGAGUACGGCCGCAAGGUUAAAACUCAAAUGAAUUGACGGGGGCCCGCACAAGCGGUGGAGCAUGUGGUUUAAUUCGAUGCAACGCGAAGAACCUUACCUACUCUUGACAUCCAGCGAACUUGCCAGAGAUGGCUUGGUGCCUUCGGGAACGCUGAGACAGGUGCUGCAUGGCUGUCGUCAGCUCGUGUUGUGAAAUGUUGGGUUAAGUCCCGCAACGAGCGCAACCCUUAUCCUUUGUUGCCAGCGAUUCGGUCGGGAACUCAAAGGAGACUGCCGGUGAUAAACCGGAGGAAGGUGGGGAUGACGUCAAGUCAUCAUGGCCCUUACGAGUAGGGCUACACACGUGCUACAAUGGCGCAUACAAAGAGAAGCGACCUCGCGAGAGCAAGCGGACCUCAUAAAGUGCGUCGUAGUCCGGAUCGGAGUCUGCAACUCGACUCCGUGAAGUCGGAAUCGCUAGUAAUCGUGGAUCAGAAUGCCACGGUGAAUACGUUCCCGGGCCUUGUACACACCGCCCGUCACACCAUGGGAGUGGGUUGCAAAAGAAGUAGGUAGCUUAACCCUCGGGAGGGCG